UAGAUACGUCAGCUUAUUUUACUUGCUGACUGAUGUAAAUGAUUUCUUCCUUGUUGAAAAGAUAAACAAGAGUUGGGUUAACUCUCGCUUUAUCUUCCACAAUCCCUCAUUUUCACAUAUCAACAACAUUUUAUUUGAGCUCUAGCUAUCUGGCAUACACAUGGUAGAACCUUAAGGAACAGGAGGACAGGGUCGACCCAUUAAGUCAAAAUCCGAAGAGAAGACUGUAGACGGGAUGUGGAGACAAUACUGAUAAAUAAGUAUAUGAAACUAUGCAAGAAAUCACUGAUCAACAUGAUGUCAUGAUAAUCUAUUCUGCCUUUCAGCAGUUUGGUGGUACCACAUUGGAAAGAUGAAGGAUUUGGCCAAAGCGACAAGUAAAUAAAAAGAGCAUUGAAUGUUUCAUAUCCAAAAAAGUGCAAGUGCAGAAGCAAGGAACUCAGGUAACUUAUAGAAUUGACUAGUUGAUUUUAUUGAUAUGUUUGGAGAUAAAAUUGAUUAGGGGUUGCGCGAACGCAGACCCCACUAACACAAAUUAUGACGUACACUCUUCCUCGUUGGGAAGAUGUUAGGCAGGCAUCCCUCCGAAAGUGCAAUGGAGGCUACCUGCCUAGGCCAUGAGCCUUCUUGAUGUCCCAUUGACCCCGCCCAGGUAAGUAAAUUUGCCAAUGAUCCAUGCUUUGAAUUUAUAUCUAUUUUGUUCUUCCCAUUACUGAUUGUCAUUGAUGUGGGACGGAACGUGGAAUGUAGAGGUCAAAUCAUAAGUAUCAAAGUCUCUGAUGGUGACAAUGAAGUAGCUAGCAUCUUAAGUUCUCACCCUGUGAUAUAGUGUCACGGUAGAAACAUAUCCUAAUUUCUCAUGUCAUGCUGUCUUGCUCUCUUUCCAGGGCACUUGCACUCAGGAGAAAUCUAAGAACACUUGAAGUACGUAACGAAGUCAACGUGGUGCUUUAGAGUUGAAUCAAGGUAACAUGGUUAUCUUUAUGUUUGCUUGAAGCCCACAAGAAAUCCAGUUUUUUGGGUGUGAAAGAGUUGCGUGGAAAGCAACACCUGAUAGCCUCGAAGAGCAACCGAAGACCAAACUGAUGUUGACUCUAUCACACAUAGGAAACCCGCUGUUGAGGCUGGAAUGACCAGAAAAAGAGAGAACACUUUGUUAGCUUGGUCAUGCAUCUGGGAAAAUAGCUAAGAGCACUUGAAGAACGUGACAAAGUCAACAAGGUGCUUUGGAGCUGAAUUAAGCACAGGGUUCCAAAGAGUCAUGGUACAUUAGAGACAGCCUCUUAGCUUUGCCAGGACAUGAUGGUUGUGUUUUUUUUCAACUUGGCAAGAUUACAUGUAACACAGUUGCGCCGUCUCCCUAGGUAUCUCAAGAUUUUGGCUUCUGUGAUGGAUUGUUCUGAGGCUGUUGCGGACUUGCAUAUCUUAUGCCUAGUGCAGUAUGAAUCUUCACCAUCGGUGACAUAAUCGAAAAAAAACUUUCCUAUCUGAAUGAUCAUCCCACGUGUAAUGUUGACUCUAUCUAACUAUUUCGCACAGUAAAUCCACAGUUGGGGAAGAAAUUAUCAGAAAAGUAGAGGUAUGUAAGAUUACAAAACCUUCUUUUUGCGUCUUGCUGACUAAGAAGUGCAGUAUCUGACAUAUCGGUUUUAAGUCUAGACUCUAGAUUUGGAGUUUGUAAUGCAAUCUUGGGGUUCUGCAUUUAAAAUCUUAAAACUUACACUGCCACUUCUGAUAUAAUCUUUCUCAUUUCACAAGUUGGUGUGCUAUGUGUGUAUAGACAGUAUAGUGUAUGUUGCCAUGUUAAUUAUUGGCAGGAUCAUGGGAUGCUUUAUGAGAUUACCUAAGUUCGAGUCCUCCCCCACAAUUUUCAGUAUGACACUGUCACUUUUAGGUUUAAAAUGAGAAGUGGUAUCUCUUGUGCAAGCUUGACUUGCAUUAUGAGAUAACUGAUCCAGGUACGUUUGGUUUAUUCAAGGUUCUUUUUAAACAUCAUGUCUAUAAACUAUAGCUGUGGAGUUGCAUAGUCUUAAUCUUACCAACGGCAGAUCAGAAAGUCUCAGAAUAUAUUCCUUUCUAAAGGGAUGUCAUAAUUUUCCUCCUUAUUCCUUACAUUCUUCCUUUUAAAUUGUGUUCUGCAUUAGAAAAUGUUUUUGUCCAACCGAACAAAGUCUUACUUAAGAGAGAUAAUAAAUGAGAAGGGAGGAGCCUGUAUCUAAUUAGAUUGGCUGUCUUUUCCUAUUUUGGCUUAUGAAGACUGCUUUUUGUUAGAAUGGACCAUGGUGAUUUGAUUUCCUGUACCUCCAUGAUUUACCAAUAAUCAGUCUCAAAUUUUUUACCCUCAUUUUUGCAGGGCCAUCUAUAUUCCCACCAUCCCCCUGUUUUAUCUAGUGUUAAACUCUAUGUUAUUCGGACACCUUUCUUUACCUCAAUAAUCGGGUGUCGACACGACACUUCACUUGUAUACUUCAUUUUAAACUAAAAACUUGUCUUUUUUCUACAAAAUAGUCGAGUCGGACACUUGGACACCCGUAUACGAGUAGACACUCGAUUCGUGUCUGAGUAACGUAGGUUAAACUUGGUGUAUGUGCUAUGAGUUCUCUUAUUUAGAGUGGUAUUUUGUUUGAAGGUGCAUCUAGCCCAUGUUGGUGUAGCAUGCCUGAAGACAUCUAACGUUUGCGAGCCUGUGUUUGCACUUUGCAGUCUGUUUCUGUGAUUCUUUGCUACAACUCCCACAUUGAACAUUUCAGCAACUUUUUCGUAGUUUAUUUAACAGAGGCUGCAGCAUAUGAUUGUCUCUUCGGAGACAUCUGAUAAAAUUGGAACGAUACAGAGAAGAUUAGCAUGGCCCCUGCGCAAGGAUGACACGCACAAAUCGAGAAAUGGUCCAAAUUUUUUUGGCCUUUUUUGCCCCGUUACUGCAGCCUUGUAGGUGAUGGAAAGAUCCUGAGAAUUGAGAUGCUUAAAAGCUUAAGAGUUUAUCACACUUUGUGCAAGGAUAGCAUACAGAAACCGAAGCUGAAGAAAUAUGCAGUAUUUUUCAGUCACUGUAUUUUUGUUCCAUAUUGCAAGAAAAUUCAAUACUGGUGUUAAUGGAAGUUCCAUAAAGGAACUCCCUCCAAAAAUAAACGUAUGCCACUAUAUGCAGCGAGCACACGGUAUUCUUUAGUAAAAGGCGAAAGAAUAGUUCGCUCUGUGCUCACUGCAUGGCUGCGUACUUUUUCAUUGAAAAGUGUCUUCAGUUUUAUUAUUCAUCAUGCUUAGUGGGACAAUUUCUUCGUCUGAUGUGGGACAAUCCUAUCGUUCCAUUGUUCCAUAUUGUACUUAUCUUUGGUAUUAGAAUACAACACUAUGUAUCUGGAAAACCAAGGGAAUCCUUGUGUUAUUGCCAUUUGUAUGUUGCAUUUGGUUGUCGGUAUAAUUUUCUAUAAAAUGGGAAAAAAAUGUAUCAGUAGGAAGAAGGAUUCGUGACAAUAUAGUUGUGUGAUUUACCAA
Long non-coding RNA from Beta vulgaris subsp. vulgaris (sugar beet), 3495 nucleotides. RefSeq lists it as uncharacterized. The transcript is spliced from 10 exons. The record is from RefSeq and is a predicted model, not a curated record. Lineage: Eukaryota; Viridiplantae; Streptophyta; Magnoliopsida; Caryophyllales; Amaranthaceae.